Molecule: transfer RNA, 76 nt
Filed under: marine sediment metagenome
Description: tRNA-Val
Rfam family: tRNA
About the family: Transfer RNA (tRNA) molecules are approximately 80 nucleotides in length.
Source: RNAcentral
ACCGGUGUAACUCAGUGGCCAGAGUGCCUCUUUUACACGGAGGAAGUCGUCGGUUCAACUCCGGCCACCGGUACCA